UUGGCCUCAAAUCAGGUAGGACUACCCACUGAACUUAAGCAUAUCAAUAAGUGGAGGAAAAGAAACUAACAAGGAUUCCCCUAGUAACGGCGAGUGAAGCGGGAAGAGCUCAAAUUUAAAAUCUGGCAGGCUACGCUUGUCCGAAUUGUAAUCUCGAGAAGUGUUUUCCGCGUUGGCCUGUGUACAAGUCCCUUGGAACAGGGCGUCAUAGAGGGUGAGAAUCCCGUCCUUGACACAGACACCCAAUGCUUUGUGAUACACUCUCAAUGAGUCGAGUUGUUUGGGAAUGCAGCUCAAAAUGGGUGGUAAAUUCCAUCUAAAGCUAAAUACUGGCGAGAGACCGAUAGCGAACAAGUACCGUGAGGGAAAGAUGAAAAGCACUUUGGAAAGAGAGUCAAACAGUACGUGAAAUUGUUGAAAGGGAAACGAUUGAAGUCAGUCGUGCCUGCCUAGAUUCAGCCUUCUGGUGUAUUUCUAGGUCGGCAGGUCAGCAUCAGUUUGGGGGGGUUAACAAGGGAGCUGGGAAUGUGGCAACCUCGGUUGUGUUAUAGCCCAGUUUCGCAUUGAUCUCGCUGGACUGAGGAACGCAGUGCGCCCGCAAGGGUUGGU
RNAcentral lists this ribosomal RNA (609 nucleotides) under Cystofilobasidium infirmominiatum. Its description in RNAcentral is "LSU rRNA". It matches the Rfam family "Eukaryotic large subunit ribosomal RNA", at positions 1 to 617 of the family's 3401-position model. The record is from RNAcentral. Lineage: Eukaryota; Fungi; Basidiomycota; Tremellomycetes; Cystofilobasidiales; Cystofilobasidiaceae.